AGUAACUGCGAGUGAAGCGGGAAAAGCUCAAAUUUAAAAUCUGUCAGUCUUUGGCUGUCCGAGUUGUAAUCUAGAGAAGUGUUAUCCGCGCUGGACCGUGUACAAGUCUCCUGGAAUGGAGCGUCAUAGAGGGUGAGAAUCCCGUCUUUGACACGGACUGCCAGGGCUUUGUGAUGCGCUCUCAAAGAGUCGAGUUGUUUGGGAAUGCAGCUCAAAAUGGGUGGUAAAUUCCAUCUAAAGCUAAAUAUUGGCGAGAGACCGAUAGCGAACAAGUACCGUGAGGGAAAGAUGAAAAGAACUUUGGAAAGAGAGUUAAACAGUACGUGAAAUUGCUGAAAGGGAAACGCUUGAAGUCAGUCGCGUUGUCCAGGGAUCAACCUUGCUUUUGCUUGGUGUACUUUCUGGUUGACGGGUCAGCAUCAAUUUUGACUAUUGGAAAAAGAUCAGGGGAAUGUGGCAUCCUUUGGAUGUGUUAUAGCCUUUGGUUGUAUACAAUAGUUGGGAUUGAGGAACUCAGCACGCCGCAAGGCCGGGUUUUUAACCACGUACGUGCUUAGGAUGCUGGCAUAAUGGCUUUAAUCGACCCGUCUUGAAACACGGACCAAGGAGUCUAACAUGCCUGCGAGUGUUUGGGUGGAAAACCCGAGCGCGUAAUGAAAGUGAAAGUUGAGAUCCCUGUCGUGGGGAGCAUCGACGCCCGGACCAGACCUUCUGUGACGGCUCCGCGGUAGAGCAUGUAUGUUGGGACCCGAAAGAUGGUGAACUAUGCCUGAAUAGGGUGAAGCCAGAGGAAACUCUGGUGGAGGCUCGUAGCGAUUCUGACGUGCAAAUCGAUCGUCAAAUUUGGGUAUAGGGGCGAAAGACUAAUCGAACCAUCUAGUAGCUGGUUCCUG
Molecule: ribosomal RNA, 893 nt
Filed under: Cortinarius magellanicoalbus
Lineage: Eukaryota; Fungi; Basidiomycota; Agaricomycetes; Agaricales; Cortinariaceae
Description: LSU rRNA
Rfam family: Eukaryotic large subunit ribosomal RNA
Source: RNAcentral